GUGGCAGACGGGUGAGUAACGCGUGGGAACGUGCCUUUCGGUUCGGAAUAACUCAGGGAAACUUGAACUAAUACCGGAUACGCCCUUCGGGGGAAAGAUUUAUCGCCGAAAGAUCGGCCCGCGUCUGAUUAGCUAGUUGGUGAGGUAAUGGCUCACCAAGGCGACGAUCAGUAGCUGGUCUGAGAGGAUGAUCAGCCACACUGGGACUGAGACACGGCCCAGACUCCUACGGGAGGCAGCAGUGGGGAAUAUUGGACAAUGGGCGCAAGCCUGAUCCAGCCAUGCCGCGUGAGUGAUGAAGGCCCUAGGGUUGUAAAGCUCUUUCGCCAGGGACGAAGCGUGAGUGACGGUACCUGGAUAAGAAGCACCGGCUAACUACGUGCCAGCAGCCGCGGUAAUACGUAGGGUGCGAGCGUUGUCCGGAUUUAUUGGGCGUAAAGGGCUCGUAGGUGGUUGAUCGCGUCGGAAGUGUAAUCUUGGGGCUUAACCCUGAGC
RNAcentral lists this ribosomal RNA (495 nucleotides) under uncultured Methylosinus sp. Its description in RNAcentral is "bacterial SSU rRNA". It matches the Rfam family "Bacterial small subunit ribosomal RNA", at positions 95 to 620 of the family's 1533-position model. The record is from RNAcentral. Lineage: Bacteria; Pseudomonadati; Pseudomonadota; Alphaproteobacteria; Hyphomicrobiales; Methylocystaceae.